GGGAGAUUGGAAUUCCUGGUGUAGCGGUGGAAUGCGCAGAUAUCAGGAGGAACACCAAUGGCGAAGGCAGAUCUCUGGGCCGUAACUGACGCUGAGGAGCGAAAGCAUGGGGAGCGAACAGGAUUAGAUACCCUGGUAGUCCAUGCCGUAAACGUUGGGAACUAGAUGUGGGGACCAUUCCACGGUCUCCGUGUCGCAGCUAACGCAUUAAGUUCCCCGCCUGGGGAGUACGGCCGCAAGGCUAAAACUCAAAGGAAUUGACGGGGGCCCGCACAAGCGGCGGAGCAUGCGGAUUAAUUCGAUGCAACGCGAAGAACCUUACCAAGGCUUGACAUAUAGAGGAAACGUCUGGAAACAGUCGCCCCGCAAGGUCUCUAUACAGGUGGUGCAUGGUUGUCGUCAGCUCGUGUCGUGAGAUGUUGGGUUAAGUCCCGCAACGAGCGCAACCCUCGUCCUAUGUUGCCAGCACGUAAUGGUGGGAACUCAUGGGAUACUGCCGGGGUCAACUCGGAGGAAGGUGGGGAUGACGUCAAAUCAUCAUGCCCCUUAUGUCUUGGGCUUCACGCAUGCUACAAUGGCCGGUACAAAGGGCUGCAAUACCGCAAGGUGGAGCGAAUCCCAAAAAGCCGGUCUCAGUUCGGAUUGAGGUCUGCAACUCGACCUCAUGAAGUCGGAGUCGCUAGUAAUCGCAGAUCAGCAACGCUGCGGUGAAUACGUUCCCGGGCCUUGUACACACCGCCCGUCAAGUCAUGAAAGUCGGUAACACCCGAAGCCAGUGGCCUAACCCGCAAGGGGAGGAG
Molecule: ribosomal RNA, 800 nt
Filed under: Cryobacterium sp. UYIF56
Lineage: Bacteria; Bacillati; Actinomycetota; Actinomycetes; Micrococcales; Microbacteriaceae
Description: bacterial SSU rRNA
Rfam family: Bacterial small subunit ribosomal RNA
Source: RNAcentral